ACCUACGGGGGGCAGCAGUAGGGAAUUUUCGUCAAUGGGCGCAAGCCUGAACGAGCAAUGCCGCGUGAACGAGGAAGGUCUUCGGGUCGUAAAGUUCUGUUGAAGGGGAAAAAGAGCGGAGAGAGGAAAUGGUCUCCGAUUGAUAUUACCCUUCGAGGAAGUCACGGCUAACUACGUGCCAGCAGCCGCGGUAAUACGUAGGUGGCGAGCGUUAUCCGGAAUGAUUGGGCGUAAAGGGUGCGUAGGCGGCCUGCUAAGUCUGGAGUGAAAGGUACCGGCUCAACCGGUACAGGCUCUGGAAACUG
RNAcentral lists this ribosomal RNA (305 nucleotides) under uncultured bacterium. Its description in RNAcentral is "bacterial SSU rRNA". It matches the Rfam family "Bacterial small subunit ribosomal RNA", at positions 337 to 635 of the family's 1533-position model. The record is from RNAcentral.